GCAAGUCGAACGACAUAGUGGCAGACGGGUGAGUAACGCGUGGAAACGUACCUUUCACUACGGAAUAGCUCUUGGAAACGAGUGGUAAUACCGUAUACGCCCUUCGGGGGAAAGAUUUAUCGGUGAAAGAUCGGUCCGCGUUAGAUUAGCUAGUUGGUGAGGUAAGAGCUCACCAAGGCGACGAUCUAUAGCUGGUCUGAGAGGAUGAUCAGCCACACUGGGACUGAGACGCGGCCCAGACUCCUACGGGAGGCAGCAGUGGGGAAUAUUGCACAAUGGGCGAAAGCCUGAUGCAGCCAUGCCGCGUGAAUGAUGAAGGCCUUAGGGUUGUAAAAUUCUUUCGCUAGGGAUGAUAAUGACAGUACCUAGUAAAGAAGCCCCGGCUAACUUCGUGCCAGCAGCCGCGGUAAUACGAAGGGGGCUAGCGUUGUUCGGAAUUACUGGGCGUAAAGCGCACGUAGGCGGGUUAUUAAGUCAGAUGUGAAAUCCCAAGGCUCAACCUUGGAACUGCAUUUGAAACUGAUAGCCUAGAGAUCAGGAGAGGUUAGCGGAAUACCGAGUGUAGAGGUGAAAUUCGUAGAUAUUCGGUGGAACACCAGUGGCGAAGGCGGCUAACUGGACUGAUACUGACGCUGAGGUGCGAAAGUGUGGGGAGCAAACAGGAUUAGAUACCCUGGUAGUUCACACCGUAAACGAUGAGAGCUAGUUGUCUGCAGGCAUGCCUGUAGGUGACGCAGCUAACGCAUUAAGCUCUCCGCCUGGGGAGUACGGCCGCAAGGUUAAAACUCAAAGAAAUUGACGGGGGCCCGCACAAGCGGU
RNAcentral lists this ribosomal RNA (819 nucleotides) under uncultured marine bacterium. RNAcentral's name for it is "bacterial SSU rRNA". It matches the Rfam family "Bacterial small subunit ribosomal RNA", at positions 57 to 933 of the family's 1533-position model. The record is from RNAcentral.